Molecule: ribosomal RNA, 252 nt
Filed under: uncultured bacterium
Lineage: Bacteria
Description: partial 16S ribosomal RNA
Rfam family: Bacterial small subunit ribosomal RNA
Source: RNAcentral
UACGAAGGGGGCUAGCGUUGCUCGGAAUUACUGGGCGUAAAGCGCACGUAGGCGGCUUUCUAAGUCGGGGGUGAAAUCCUGGAGCUCAACUCCAGAACUGCCUUCGAUACUGGCGAUCUUGAGUCCGGAAGAGGUGAGUGGAACUCCUAGUGUAGAGGUGGAAUUCGUAGAUAUUAGGAAGAACACCAGUGGCGAAGGCGGCUCACUGGUCCGGUACUGACGCUGAGGUGCGAAAGCGUGGGGAGCAACAGG